AAGUAGUAGAUUGUAUCCCGUAGUAUAGCUCUUAUUAGAAUAGUUCAUUGUUCCCUUUGUACCAUUGUAAUCUUGUAUAGUGCUGUCUAAAUACUACUAUAGCUCUUCUGUAUACUUGUUAUUAUCAGCUUUGAGGCAGGAACCUGCAAGUAGACUUAUUUUAUCACCCUCCAGUCGCCCACACACUCGUAAUAGCAAUUGUCCUUCCUCCUUUCAGGCGAUUUUACGUGCAGUUUCUGUACGUAAACGACAGCAACCACGAACCCUACGUGCUGACAAUCGCCGGAUGUGAGGAGUUCUGCCCAUUCGACGACUUCUAUGACCUGAACGAUGAGGUCAUCCUUAACCCUGGCAGGUGGAGACGCGCGUGCGAACUUCCACCUAUCACAUGGCUUAGCGGGUUUCUCUACGGCGUGUUCUUCGUGAGCAUCGUGCUGCUCGUGGCGCUGAGCCUGAUGCCCCAUCUUCGGCCACACGCCUCAUCGGGAGGCAGGAAGACUCAGUAGUAACGCCUCUUCAUGACGUUAGCUGAUAAAAGGGCGACCAAAUCCCGCAGUUGUAAUUCUCGAUUGUACAUCACACUUGCUGUACGUUACCGUCUGUAACUGCUUGAUCCGAUAAUAAAGAAACAGAGCAAUG
Molecule: long non-coding RNA, 639 nt
Organism: Branchiostoma floridae (Florida lancelet)
Lineage: Eukaryota; Metazoa; Chordata; Leptocardii; Amphioxiformes; Branchiostomatidae
Exons: 2
Source: RefSeq, a predicted model, not a curated record